CCCUUAGAUGUUCUGGGCCGCACGCGCGCUACACUGACUGGUUCAUCGAGUAUACAACCUUGACUGAUAGGUCUGGGUAAUCUUCUCAAAGCCAGUCGUGCUGGGGAUAGAUUAUUGUAAUUUUUAAUCUUCAACGAGGAAUUCCUAGUAAACGCGAGUAAUCAACUCGCAUUGAUUACGUCCCUGCCCUUUGUACACACCGCCCGUCGCUACUACCGAUUGAAUGGCUUAGUGAGCUUUCUGGACUGUUGCACUUCGUUGGAAACUUCGUUGUGCAUACGGGAAGGAAAUCAAACUUGAUCAUUUAGAGGAAGUAAAAGUCGUAACA
RNAcentral lists this ribosomal RNA (328 nucleotides) under uncultured eukaryote. RNAcentral describes it as "partial 18S ribosomal RNA". It matches the Rfam family "Eukaryotic small subunit ribosomal RNA", at positions 1470 to 1796 of the family's 1831-position model. The record is from RNAcentral.